ACGUAGGGGGCAAGCGUUAUCCGGAUUUACUGGGUGUAAAGGGAGCGUAGACGGCAUGACAAGUCUGAAGUGAAAGCCCGGGGCUCAACCCCGGGACUGCUUUGGAAACUGUCAGGCUAGAGUGCUGGAGAGGUAAGUGGAAUUCCUAGUGUAGCGGUGAAAUGCGUAGAUAUUAGGAGGAACACCAGUGGCGAAGGCGGCUUACUGGACAGUGACUGACGUUGAGGCUCGAAAGCGUGGGGAGCAAACAG
Molecule: ribosomal RNA, 251 nt
Filed under: uncultured bacterium
Lineage: Bacteria
Description: partial 16S ribosomal RNA
Rfam family: Bacterial small subunit ribosomal RNA
Source: RNAcentral